This is a long non-coding RNA of Esox lucius (northern pike), 832 nucleotides long. RefSeq lists it as uncharacterized. Lineage: Eukaryota; Metazoa; Chordata; Actinopteri; Esociformes; Esocidae. The transcript is spliced from 5 exons. The record is from RefSeq and is a predicted model, not a curated record.
AUAGCGCAAGCGCAGAGUAUAUCAGUUCCAGUGUCCCGCGACUCCCGCGGGUUUUUCGGCAGUUCACUGACUGAACUCCAGAGCUUCACUUCAGGCUGCUUUAUCUUCACGGACUAAAAGGGGAGCUUUAAAGGAUGUGACAGUUGGGAUUAAUAUGCGCCUAGCUAGCUACAACAGCAUUACUAGACCGGUGCUUUGGGGUGCAAUUUUUAUUUUAUUUGUCAACUUAACAUAAAUGAUGCUCCUUUAGAAUGAGUGAGGGUAACCCACUAUAUUUAAAGACAUGGAGGUCUGCAACAAGAACCCUAAAAAUACUUUGUGCAUGACAGGCAGAAGAUUGCAGUCAGGCAGACACCAAAAAUUGCUUUCAUGGAAGGUUCAUGUGAUAGUUAUUCAAGUGAUAUGGAGAAUGGUAGCCUAAGCGAGAGAGAUGUGAGCCCCCAUGAAGAGCGGGACGGAUUCACCACCUGGAAUUGCAGGAGCAUCAGCUCUGAGAGCCAAAGACAACGAUGGACCCUCAGCAUCUCACUCCCGAGCUUCAGCUGCAGACUACUGCCAGACAGAAAUGUUGGAUGGCAUUCAUAAAUAUUAUCCAUCUCAGCCUGAUUUGCAUGUCUAAUCCUGGAGACUACCAGGCAAAUAAUGAGCACACUUGCCACCAGUCCAGUUUGGAGCUGCUUACGGGAAACGAGGGACAAUUGCCCUUAUUGACAUGAGUGUCUACAAUGUCAUCAAACGGGCUAUCAUGUGGUGCCAUGCUGGGCUGGAGGAGAAUGUGGUGGAGUCUUUAAUUUCAGAGGUCCUUAAACAUGCACCAGCCCACUGCCAGCAG